Molecule: unclassified non-coding RNA, 199 nt
Filed under: rhizosphere metagenome
Description: partial ribosomal RNA internal transcribed spacer region
Source: RNAcentral
GAGCGAGGGUCCCCCGGGGCCCGAAUCUCCCACCCUUUGUGAACCAUACCUCUGUUGCUUUGGCGGGCCCGCGGGGCCACACCCGCCGCCGGCUCCGGCUGGCGAGCGCCCGUCAGAGUCCACCCAAACUCUUGUAAACAGUGACGUCUGAGUAAAAAUUUAAUAGCAAAAAACUUUCAACAACGGAUCUCUUGGUUCU